Long non-coding RNA from Passer domesticus (house sparrow), 2681 nucleotides. RefSeq lists it as uncharacterized. Lineage: Eukaryota; Metazoa; Chordata; Aves; Passeriformes; Passeridae. The record is from RefSeq and is a predicted model, not a curated record. The transcript is spliced from 4 exons.
CUGGAAUCCAGAAAAGACAUUAAACUUCCUUUUAGAAGAGGUAAUUGAAAAGAAAAAGGCAAUAAAGCUCCAUGUUUUUGUACAGAUUGCUAAUCAUAUUUCAAACCAGAACCACCUGCUGAAGACCUGCAGAAACAAAAGUGGAAGGAUUCUUAAUGUCCUAAUUCGAGAGGAGGUUACAGCACAAUAUUAUUAAGAUCAAACCGCCUCAUGCUUGAAAUCAAGAACAAACCACUUUUCUUUGACAAAAAGGGGAAACUCUUGCAGCCCAGCACUGACGAAUCUUGAUGUUCUCAGCUGUCAAACAGACCUGACACUGGCCCAGAGUGAAACAGUGUCAGCAACCACUGCUUUUCCAGCAGCAGCUGUGAGCCUGCCCACUGCUUGAUGUGUAAUGCAUUUGUCAUACAGCCUGGGCUGAAAGAAGUCAAACAGAGUAAAAAUCUAUUGUCUGAAGCUUCAAGCAGAAGGGAGGUGACUACUUAACUUCUCUCCUGAUGCUGAUGUGAACACAGCAUGUACUGUUCAUAGGUGGUGACUGAUAAGAGGAUCUGUGGUGGAGCUCCUUACUUGAGGUCAAACUCAGAAAUUGAGCAGCCUGGCUUGCCCGACACAGAGCUUGGUAGUAAAGCUUCCUCUGCUGAGGUUCCUGCCAAGAGUGGACAGGAGAAAAACCUUCCCAGAGGGAUUGCAAGUAGGCUGGUGAGGAGAGGGUGCUGCCUCUGCUGGGCUGGUAUGGGCUGCUUUGGGGUGGCUUUCUACUGCAGCACAGAUGGUGGUGAUAGGCAGCCUUGUGUUCUUUGCUCUGGAAUGUGUGGCUUCUCCUCCUUCCUGGCACUUUAGCUGCCCUCAGUUUGACAAAGGCUGGUAAUUUUUAUUUCCCAGUUAUACCAAGGAACAACAUUAUCUAGGAAAGCAAAUAAGACUGUUUAGUGUUUCACUAUAACAUCUUUUCCCUCAAAGUUGGGCAAAACCGUCUAAAUACAAUGAGGAUUUUAUAUAAAUACAUUUAUAUAGGUAUGCAUAAAUAAAGUAAUACAUAUUUAGUACAUAUAUAGAAAAUCACUUCAACACAGGCCUCUUCCACUUAGAUCACAAGUUUCUGACACCUGAAAAGAACAAGCAGGCAUUACAUGGGGCCAUGAAACACAAGCAACCCUCUUAGCAUGGGGACUUCCUUGCAAGGAGGAGAUCACUGCGGUGAGCUCUCAUUGCUAGGCUCUCCUGGACUCCAGUGCCCCAUGGGUGACAGGCUCCCAUCUAGGCCACUGCAAUGGGCACAUCUGUGCUUCUGCUUCCCAAGGCCUGAAAAGCAGGCAUGGACCAUGAUAUCCAGAGUUGUGGUCAACAGCUCAUUUCUACAUGGAGACCAGUGACAAGUGGUGUACUUUGGGUCAGUACUGGAGCCAGAAAUGUCCAACAUCUUUGCUGGUGGCAUGGACAGCAGGAUCAAGUGUGUCCUCAGGAAGUUUGCUGAAGACAUCAUGCUCUGUGGUGCAGUCACCACGUUGAGACAAGGGAUGCCAUCCAGAGGGACCUGGACAUGCUUCAGAGAUGGGCCCAUGAAAACCUCAUGAGGUUCAACAAAGAGACAUGCAGGUUCCUACCUGGUGUCCCUGGUGUAAUCACAGACACACCUACAGGUGGGCAGAGAAGUGAUUGAGAGCAGCCCUAAGCAGAAAGGCUUGGUGAUGGUUGAUGAAAAAUCCAAUAUGAGCCAGCAGUGUGCUCACAGCCCAGAAAGUCAGCCACGUCCUGGGCUGCAUCAAAAGCAGUAUGGCUACAAGGAGAUGAUUCUGCCCCUCUGCUCUGCUCUUGUGAGACCCCACCUGGAGUAAUGCACACAGUUCUGCUGCCACCAACAGAAGGACAUGGAGCAAAUCCAGAGGAGGGCCAUAAAGUUGAUAAGAGGUCUGGAGCAUGUCGAAUGACAGGCUGGGAAAGAAUCACAAAAUAUUCUGAAUUAAAAAGGACUCACAUGGACCUUUGAGUCAAACUCCCAAGUGCAUUGCCUGAACAGGGUUUAAACCCCCAGUCUUGACACUGUUAGUGCCAUGCUCUAACCAGCUGAGCUAAUCUCAGGGUUGGGGCUGUUCAGCCUGGAGAAGGUUGUGUGGAGAUCUCACAGCAGCCUUCUAGUGUCUGAAGGGGGCCUACAGGGGAGCCAGAGAGGGGCUCUUCCUCAGGAAUUCUAGUGAAAGGACAAGGAAUAAUGGCUGCAAGCUGAAAUGGGGGAAAUUUAGCUUAGCUAUUAGGAAGAAAUUCUUUACUGUGAGGGUGGUUAGACACUGGAACAGGUUGUCCAGGGAGGUUGUGGAUGCAGUGGUCACAGCCAGAUUGGAUGGGGCCUUGAGCAGCCUGGUCUAGGGAGGUGCUCCUGCCCACGGAAGGGGGGUUGGGACUAGAUAAUCUCUAAGGGCCAUUCUAACCCCUAAAUAUUCUGUGAUUCUGUGAUUCAGCACAGCCAGAGAACAGGCAAAUGAAGCCCAAGGAUACCCUAGAAAAGAGAGAAGAUCCAGAUUCACAAAGUAAGUAGCCUUUUAUGCUCUGGGUAUGUCAGGUUAACCUUCGAAUGUAAAUUCACUAAUUAAUUAAUUGAUAUUUCUUAAUAAAACAACAUCCAAGUAUAUUAUGGUAUGCCAAAUAAAUGUAUCACACUAGUGCCUCUAGCUAUUGGAGCA